RNAcentral lists this ribosomal RNA (392 nucleotides) under uncultured bacterium. Its description in RNAcentral is "partial 16S ribosomal RNA". It matches the Rfam family "Bacterial small subunit ribosomal RNA", at positions 523 to 918 of the family's 1533-position model. The record is from RNAcentral.
AUACGGAGGAUCCGAGCGUUAUCCGGAUUUAUUGGGUUUAAAGGGUGCGCAGGCGGCCAUUUAAGUCAGCGGUUAAAUCGUGGGGCUCAACCCCAUUCUGCCGUUGAUACUGGGUGGCUUGAUUGCGGUCGAGGUUGGCGGAAUUCGUUGUGUAGCGGUGAAAUGCAUAGAUAUGACGAAGAACACCGAUUGCGUAGGCAGCUGACCAGAUCGCAAAUGACGCUCAUGCACGAAAGUGCGGGGAUCGAACAGGAUUAGAUACCCUGGUAGUCCGCACAGUAAACGAUGAAUACUUGUUUUCGGCGAUAUAAUGUCGGAGGCAAAGCGAAAGCGAUAAGUAUUCCACCUGGGGAGUACGCCGGCAACGGUGAAACUUAAAUGAAUUGGCGGGG